AUUGAACGCUGGCGGCAUGCUUUACACAUGCAAGUCGAACGGAAACAUGAAAGAGCUUGCUCUUUUGAUGUCGAGUGGCGAACGGGUGAGUAAUACAUCGGAACAUGUCCUUUUGUGGGGGAUAACUACUCGAAAGAGUAGCUAAUACCGCAUAAGACCUAAGGGUGAAAGCGGGGGACCUUCGGGCCUCGCGCAGAUGGAGUGGCCGAUGACUGAUUAGCUAGUUGGUGGGGUAAAGGCCUACCAAGGCGACGAUCAGUAGCUGGUCUGAGAGGACGACCAGCCACAUUGGGACUGAGACACGGCCCAA
RNAcentral lists this ribosomal RNA (310 nucleotides) under uncultured bacterium. RNAcentral describes it as "bacterial SSU rRNA". It matches the Rfam family "Bacterial small subunit ribosomal RNA", at positions 30 to 334 of the family's 1533-position model. The record is from RNAcentral.